CUCCCGUUGCCUGGUAACAGCCCUCCCCUUCACCAGCUCCGCGGAAACCAUAGCAACGGGCAGCCGGAAGAUGCGGCCAUUCCUCUCCCUUUUGUCCAUUGCAUUUCAGCAGCGCCCGCGCACAUGGACGCUCCAAUUACAGGCGGAGAAGCUGUCGGGCGCUGUCGCACAAAGCGAUUUUGUGCCUCCUCCCGGCGCCUUCCUCCACUCCCUGCCGCGUUCAAGGACAAACAAGGACCUCCAAAUUCGUGUUCAAACGCCCCGCGUGCUUAAAACAACACGUAUGCAUUGUCUCCCAGCUCUAGAGGCUAGAAAUUGGCAGUCAGGAUGUGUGUAAGGCCACGCUCCCUCUGAAGACUCCAGGGGAGGAUCUUUCCUUGCCUCCUCCAGCUUCUGGUGGCUGCCAGCAUCCUUGGCAUUCCUUGGCCUGUGGACACAUCACUCUCAUCUCUGCCCAUGGUCACGCAGAACCCCAAGCUCCAGAAUACAGACCAGCAGGCGAGGAGACAAGGAGGCAAGCAGAUGGAUGGUGGAACAAAGUGGCAGAGAAAGAGAGAAGAGGAGAGAUGUCUGGACGCCAAGAGGAGUCUGGCUGGGGCCAGUCAGAGAAGAGUCCAGCGGCUGGGCAGCCCGACUCCAGGGGAAGAUCACCUUCCCACUCCAUCCCCCUUCACGCUCCCCAUCCAUCUCACUAAGAGCCAUCUCUACCACUCAAUAAAACCUUGCAUUCAUCCUUCA
This 738-nucleotide long non-coding RNA is filed under the name Homo sapiens (human). RNAcentral describes it as "long non-coding RNA NONHSAT164077.1". Lineage: Eukaryota; Metazoa; Chordata; Mammalia; Primates; Hominidae. The record is from RNAcentral.